This 345-nucleotide long non-coding RNA is filed under the name Nicotiana benthamiana. RNAcentral describes it as "long non-coding RNA (NBEN_LNC005353)". The record is from RNAcentral. Lineage: Eukaryota; Viridiplantae; Streptophyta; Magnoliopsida; Solanales; Solanaceae.
GAAGCUUUUGCAGAUCUCAAAUAGAAGCAAGUUAGGAUUGAAGAAAUGAAGACCUUGUCAAAAAAAUGAAACUUGGAAACUUGUCACUUCACCACCGGACAACAAGUUGGUUGGAUGUAAAUGGGUCUUGCAAGUUGGGCAUGUGCGACAUCUUUGCACCAACUUGAGUGGGAGUAUUGAUUAGCAUGAUUCAAGGAGAUUUGAUUUAUGAGCGUUGAUUAGCAUAAUUUUACGAAUAGCUGAAUUGAUUAUGUAGAUUUAUUUUAUUUCCUUAAUUAAUAUUAUGAGCUUUGUAUAGAUUUCCCUGCUCAUGGGAUGUAAGCAAACACAAAAAUAUAAGAAGCC